GCACAGAUUCAAUGGCCGGAUGCUUCCUGCACCAGUUUUAGGAAUUUCGCCUUCUCGAGAUCCCAAUUGAAGCGUUCACGCCCGAGCUGCCACGCGCGCUGUCGCGCACGAGCCUGAGCAGACGCGCUGCUGAAAAAGCGUUCGAUCUCGUCAGCAGUCGUUCGCGUGUCGCAAAUAGGAACGAGCAGCGCUGCGUCUCCGAGAUCCCGCGCGAUCUGAAGAUGAGCGGGAGUUGUACUAAGGACGACAGGAGUUCCGGCGAGGAGAUAGGUGAAGAGCUUAUUCGUGAGGCAAAGACCGCGGUUCGGCGGAACGUCGAGUUCGACCGAAAGUCCCAGGGAAUACCGCGCCGCGUGCGUCACCAUCUCAUCAGGUGCGGAGGAGGACAGGAAAACGAGUUUGCGCGGAGAAAGCCCAUGUUGUGACGCGAUCCCGCGCAGAUGCUCUGCGUACCCGGGUGAUGGUU
This 466-nucleotide unclassified non-coding RNA is filed under the name plant metagenome. RNAcentral's name for it is "partial contains 5.8S ribosomal RNA, internal transcribed spacer 2, and large subunit ribosomal RNA". The record is from RNAcentral.